Molecule: ribosomal RNA, 1334 nt
Filed under: Bacillus sp. DB150(2010)
Lineage: Bacteria; Bacillati; Bacillota; Bacilli; Caryophanales; Bacillaceae
Description: bacterial SSU rRNA
Rfam family: Bacterial small subunit ribosomal RNA
Source: RNAcentral
AGGGCGCAGCUAUACAUGCAGUCGAGCGGACUUGAUGAGAAGCUUGCUUCUCUGAUGGUUAGCGGCGGACGGGUGAGUAACACGUAGGCAACCUGCCCUCAAGCUUGGGACAACUACCGGAAACGGUAGCUAAUACCGAAUAAUUGUUUUCUUCACCUGAAGGAAACUGGAAAGACGGAGCAAUCUGUCACUUGGGGAUGGGCCUGCGGCGCAUUAGCUAGUUGGUGGGGUAACGGCUCACCAAGGCGACGAUGCGUAGCCGACCUGAGAGGGUGAUCGGCCACACUGGGACUGAGACACGGCCCAGACUCCUACGGGAGGCAGCAGUAGGGAAUCUUCCGCAAUGGGCGAAAGCCUGACGGAGCAAUGCCGCGUGAGUGAUGAAGGUUUUCGGAUCGUAAAGCUCUGUUGCCAGGGAAGAACGCUUGGGAGAGUAACUGCUCUCAAGGUGACGGUACCUGAGAAGAAAGCCCCGGCUAACUACGUGCCAGCAGCCGCGGUAAUACGUAGGGGGCAAGCGUUGUCCGGAAUUAUUGGGCGUAAAGCGCGCGCAGGCGGUCAUUUAAGUCUGGUGUUUAAUCCCGGGGCUCAACCCCGGAUCGCACUGGAAACUGGGUGACUUGAGUGCAGAAGAGGAGAGUGGAAUUCCACGUGUAGCGGUGAAAUGCGUAGAUAUGUGGAGGAACACCAGUGGCGAAGGCGACUCUCUGGGCUGUAACUGACGCUGAGGCGCGAAAGCGUGGGGAGCAAACAGGAUUAGAUACCCUGGUAGUCCACGCCGUAAACGAUGAGUGCUAGGUGUUAGGGGUUUCGAUACCCUUGGUGCCGAAGUUAACACAUUAAGCACUCCGCCUGGGGAGUACGGUCGCAAGACUGAAACUCAAAGGAAUUGACGGGGACCCGCACAAGCAGUGGAGUAUGUGGUUUAAUUCGAAGCAACGCGAAGAACCUUACCAGGUCUUGACAUCCCUCUGACCGGUACAGAGAUGUACCUUUCCUUCGGGACAGAGGAGACAGGUGGUGCAUGGUUGUCGUCAGCUCGUGUCGUGAGAUGUUGGGUUAAGUCCCGCAACGAGCGCAACCCUUGAUCUUAGUUGCCAGCACUUCGGGUGGGCACUCUAAGGUGACUGCCGGUGACAAACCGGAGGAAGGUGGGGAUGACGUCAAAUCAUCAUGCCCCUUAUGACCUGGGCUACACACGUACUACAAUGGCCGGUACAACGGGCUGUGAAGCCGCGAGGUGGAACGAAUCCUAAAAAGCCGGUCUCAGUUCGGAUUGCAGGCUGCAACUCGCCUGCAUGAAGUCGGAAUUGCUAGUAAUCGCGGAUCAGCAG